GACGAACGCUGGCGGCGUGCUUAACACAUGCAAGUCGAACGGUAAGGCCCUUCGGGGUACACGAGUGGCGAACGGGUGAGUAACACGUGAGUAACCUGCCCUUGACUCUGGGAUAACUGCUAGAAAUGGUAGCUAAUACCGGAUACGACCCUCGGUGGCAUCACCAGGGGGUGGAAAGAAUUUCGGUCAAGGAUGGACUCGCGGCCUAUCAGCUAGCUGGUGAGGUAACGGCUCACCAAGGCGACGACGGGUAGCCGGCCUGAGAGGGUGACCGGCCACACUGGGACUGAGACACGGCCCAGACUCCUACGGGAGGCAGCAGUGGGGAAUAUUGCACAAUGGGCGCAAGCCUGAUGCAGCAACGCCGCGUGAGGGAUGACGGCCUUCGGGUUGUAAACCUCUUUUAGUAGGGAAGAAGCGAAAGUGACGGUACCUGCAGAAAAAGCACCGGCUAACUACGUGCCAGCAGCCGCCGUAA
Molecule: ribosomal RNA, 478 nt
Filed under: uncultured bacterium
Lineage: Bacteria
Description: partial 16S ribosomal RNA
Rfam family: Bacterial small subunit ribosomal RNA
Source: RNAcentral